RNAcentral lists this unclassified non-coding RNA (288 nucleotides) under Glomus sp. RNAcentral's name for it is "partial contains 5.8S ribosomal RNA and internal transcribed spacer 2". The stretch from base 1 to 71 matches the Rfam family "5.8S ribosomal RNA", at positions 84 to 154 of the family's 154-position model. The record is from RNAcentral. Lineage: Eukaryota; Fungi; Glomeromycota; Glomeromycetes; Glomerales; Glomeraceae.
GUGAAUCAUCAAAUCUUUGAACGCAAAUUGCACUCUCUGGUAUUCCGGAGAGUAUGCCUGUUUGAGGGUCAGUAUAAAAAAAAUCGACAUAGUUGCUGUUACGCGGUAACAUUCGUCGGAAAUUGGGUCAUCUUAAACCUUUGGGUUUAAGCGGCUUAAGAUUUUCUUUACGAUUCCAAGAACGUUUCUAAGAUUUUAUCUUCUUAUACGUUUAAGGUAUCGAUCUUUAUUAGACGUGGCAGUUGAAUAGGAUUGCGUCCAUAAAUAUUUCGUUAACUGACCCUAGCC